UUUUCUCUCUAUCCACCAUUCAGUUCCUGUUUUUUUCUAUUUAUUUUUGUGUUAUUCAGUUCUGAUUUUUUUUUUUUUGAGUUUCAUUUCUGAUUUUUCAAUUUCUUCGCUAUAGAUAAUUAGGGAAAUAAAUAGUUGUGUUUACUUCAUUUUUUCAACCAUGCAUUUGUUAUUUAUAGUGGGUUACUUUUCAGUUUCUUCGCUAUAGAGACGAACAUCGAACGAGCCUCGACCUUGAAAAUCAUCGUGUGUAGAUGGAUAUUGAUAGGAGGAAAUUCAUUUUCGUUUUCUUGUGAAUCAGCUCAAAGAAGCCAUCAAGGAAAAUUUUUGAACUACUUAUUAAAUCCAUGAUUUUUUGCUGGAUUCUAAAGGUGGAAAUUGCUCAAGGUGCGAAAAAGGGACACUUUGCUUCGAUUAUACGAGCGUUUUGAAACUUAAACUGGAGCGAAAAAUGUUAAGAGGCUACGCUUCAGGCAUUUUCAAAGCUAUCAUCAGGUCACUUAGUACCAUCAGGUCAUUGAAGAUGGUGCUGUUAAUUCUUGUUGCGAUAUUAUAGUCGUGGGGUUGACGAGAUGCUCCAAAUGGCUCCGGUUAAAGUUUCUUCAUAUGUCAUGAUACCAAGACCAAUGAGGUUGGUUUUUUCUCAGAGAAUUUAAGUUCUAUCAAAUUGUUCAAUUUGUAUCCAAAGUUUUCAAAUACUUGUUAAUCUCUUGUAUUUCGUUCGUGAAAAAAUAUUCAUACAUAUUGACUUUUAAGUGUUUGAAAUUGAUCAUUUACUUGCAUCUUUUUAUAAAAUCUCCAUGCUCAAUUAGAAAGGUGUAAUAUAUAUGUAGCUAAAUUUAUCAUUUUUGUUGAAUAAACGAUAAGUAUUUGAUAGAAAUGUAAAACAUUUCGUUAAAUAUGAGUGUCCUAUUUAUGUCACUACAAAGCGAAGGAAAUAAACUCUCUGAUUGAGGUUGAUUGAGCAUUGAAAUACUGCUCAAUGUUCGAUCGUAUGAGAGCAAAAAAUAUAAAAUGAAUCUAUCUAUAAGUAUUAUGUCAUAUCUCCUUGUCAUAGCUCAUCAGAGACCUGAAAAAUAUUGUUAAAACAAAGUUAUUUAGCUAUUCUUAACUUUUUAUUGUGACUCUAUCUUUCAGUGACUUUAAUGCGAUAGUGUUAUCUUCACUGCUAAAAGGUUUUUGAUUUCAGAUUUUGUAAGAAGAUUCAAAUUUUCUUUUUGGCAUCUCAUUAAUUGUGCAGUCGUGUGAUCUCCUAAAAUCUCAAGUGGAAUCUGUUGGGUUUGAAAUUGAGAUAGCGUCAUGUGGAGGCUAUUAGUUGUAAACCACCGUGGUGAUAAUUCAGACGACAAAGAAAAAACAUACUAAAAAAUAUAUUAUUGAUACUGUUUGGUCAAACGACCUACAUAUCAAAAACUAAUAUUGAAAAAAACAUAAAAUCCAUUGGGAGAAAAUCUCCCUCUAAACGAAACUCUUAAACGACUACAUUGUGGAUGAUACUGUGUUAUUGUAUGAGAAGGGGUCCCCAAAGCCAAGCUCGUGACAAGGAAUUUUUGGUCAUAUCCGUUGGUCUUGCUGUUACGGUGUAGGAUGCUCUGAAAAAGAUGACUAUGUACCUUCCCUUUACUGGUUAUCAUACCAAUUAGCAGAGCGAGUACCCGAGACGAACAGAGAACUAAGUCGAAAGAAAUCCAGUUAGUCCUAAAGUCUUGGAAGAGUCUUCUAUUUACAAAGUUCCAAAACCUUUCCUCUUAGAAAUAGGUUAGCCAAAUAUGAAAAAAAUUUAUAUAUUCCUUUCAAGAAAAGUAAAAGUAAUUAUGGUAUUACUUUUAUUUUCCUUCUAAGAAAGAAUAAAACUUAAAUUUAGUAAGAAAAUCAGGGCAAAAACCCUAACAAAUCUCCCCUUUUUGGCUUGAUUUUCUUGACAUAAUUUGAUUCACCUUCUUCGCAUGUAUGAUCUUCGUUCUUUACAUAAUCUUCAUCACUGCUGCUUGCCAUGCUUAAAAAUAAAAUUUAAAAUAUUAUGGUUAAAAGUGGGUUAAAAAUAAAUAUUUUAUUUUUAUUUUUAAAGAUGCAACAACAAGAUGUUGAAAUAUGCUUAAAACUUUUUCUCCACAUGUAGCUAGACAAAAUUGUCAUUAUCAUCAAAUUAGUUGCAACUUUGACCUAAACAUGUCCUCAAUCUGAAACAUCGGAUCAUUGAACCAUAGACUCUGAUACCACUUGUUGGGUUCGAAAUUGAGAUGGCGUCAUGUGAAAGUUAUUUGUAAACCAUCAUGGUGAAAAUUCAGAAGACAAAGAAAAAACAUACUAAAAAACAUAUUAUUGAUAUUGUUUGUCAAACAACCUACAGUGUUAUUGUAUGAGAAGGGAGGAUCUUCUAAUUAUAGAGUUCCAAACUCUUUCCUCUUAGAAAGAGGUUAGCCAAAUAUAGAAAAUUUUUAUAUUUUCCUUUCAAGAAAAGUAAAAGUAAUUAUGAUAUUACUUUUAUUUUUCUUCUAAAAAAAAAUAAAAUUUAAAUUUGGUAAGAAAAUCAGGACAAAAACCCUAACAAAAUUUCCAUGUUUACUUCAAAAAAUAAAACUACUGAAGUGUUAGUUCCUUAAAACUCAACUGAAAUGAUUUAGAGAGCUUGUAAUGAUAUGAAUUUUGAAACAUCUUAGAUUUCUUCUUAACUUGAGUCAUGAUAAUAAUAACUGCUUGGUAAUUGUGUUAUAGAAGAGAGAAGUUAGCGGAACAUGUUCAAUGGGAAUGACCUUGAAAAAGUUAUAGAUUUUAUACUAGACGAAGAAGGCUAUGUUUCAACAAGAUAUAGUAGAUGGUAUAGUUUGUGGUACUUUAAGCGGAUUAAGGUAUGAAUUGCUCCUCAGUUUGAUAGUAUGAUAACUGUAAUUUGCGUCAUGCGUUUUUGUUCUGUUAGCUUUUCUUUGCAUCACAUUGAAUGUUCUCUUUAAACUCAGUGACAUUCUUUACCGUGGUUAAGACAUAGGAAGUUGAUUUAUAUUUGAAGUAUGUUGCAUAUUGAACUUCAGAUGUUUCUUCAACAGCUCAUGCUAUGAGAUGCUAUUUUCACUGAAGCACAUACAAGUCUUUCUCUCCUUCCUUUCACCAGUAUUUUGACUAAUAAAAUCUUAUAUAUAUACACACUGAAUCAAUCUGGAGUUUUGAUUUAAUUAAUUCACUAAUCCCGCAAUAUGUUAAAUAGUUAAAUGCUAUUGUAGUUCAUUCUAUUAAGUUAUGUAAAGUAUUAAAUAGGUGCAUUCAACUGUCACUGUUUGUUAAAUGUUCUGCUUCUAAUUAGUGCAUUGGUUCUUUUUUAUUACAAGGGAGAGGAAAUGCAAAUUUUUAACAAAAUUAGGAUUUUCAAUUAACAAUAUUCAUGAAGAUAUCAUUCCAGUUAUAUUAUUUUUUUCCUGGGUAGAUUCAAAUGUAAAAAAAAAAAAUUAGAUUCGCGAUACUUUGGGUCCAACUGGGUGUGGUAGAAGUAAGAUCUGUGUACGUCUUACUCUUCUAAGAGCCCACAUGUGGUAUUACAUUAUGUUUUUUGUUGUUGUUGAUUGAUAUUGUGAAAUUGCCAAAUGAAUAUAUCUUGAUCAAGUUAAUUAGGUUUCUUUACUAUUGGCAAUAUGCAUAUUAUAGGUUGAUUUGUUGCUUAUGAUCUCUGAAUUAGUGCAAAGGUCUGUGCGUUUUGAAAAUGAUAAUACAACAACAUACUAAUACCACAAUAACAUACUCAGUGUAAACCCACAACUUGUGGACUGCAGGUUGGGUUUGAAGAGGAUAGUGUAUACUGUGUACACAAACCUCACCCAUACCUUGUGAAGAUAGAGAGGUUGUUUUCUAUGAACUGUCGGCCAAAGUAAUGCAUAUAAAAGAGCAGUCUCAAAAGGAAAUACAAUAGUGAAGAAGUUAUCUUGAAAAUAAUGAAGAAAAGAAUAGUAGCAGUUUUGAAAAUGAUAAUGAACUAGAAAAUCAAAUGUCAGUUGCAAAUUCAGAAGUUCCAUGCCACCAUAAGUACCAUUGUCUAGAUGUUGAG
Molecule: long non-coding RNA, 4033 nt
Organism: Capsicum annuum
Lineage: Eukaryota; Viridiplantae; Streptophyta; Magnoliopsida; Solanales; Solanaceae
Exons: 3
Source: RefSeq, a predicted model, not a curated record